UGGGUAACCUGCCUCAAAGAGGGGAAUAGCCUCCCGAAAGGGAGAUUAAUACCGCAUAAUAUGUUUAGGUCGCAUGACUUUAACAUCAAAGGAUUUUCUUUUAGAAAUUCCACUUUGAGAUGGACCCCGCGGCGCAUUAGCUAGUUGGUGAGGUAACGGCUCACCAAGGCAACGAUGCGUAGCCGACCUGAGAGGGUGAUCCGGCCACAUUGGAACUGAGACACGGUCCAGACCUCCGUAGGAGG
This 245-nucleotide ribosomal RNA is filed under the name uncultured bacterium. RNAcentral's name for it is "partial 16S ribosomal RNA". It matches the Rfam family "Bacterial small subunit ribosomal RNA", at positions 118 to 347 of the family's 1533-position model. The record is from RNAcentral.